RNAcentral lists this RNase P RNA (359 nucleotides) under Thiotrichaceae bacterium. RNAcentral describes it as "RNase P RNA component class A". It matches the Rfam family "Bacterial RNase P class A". From Rfam's summary of the family: Ribonuclease P (RNase P) is a ubiquitous endoribonuclease, found in archaea, bacteria and eukarya as well as chloroplasts and mitochondria. Its best characterised activity is the generation of mature 5'-ends of tRNAs by cleaving the 5'-leader elements of precursor-tRNAs. Lineage: Bacteria; Pseudomonadati; Pseudomonadota; Gammaproteobacteria; Thiotrichales; Thiotrichaceae. The record is from RNAcentral.
GGAGUUGGCCAGACAAUCGCGCCAAAAUGUUUCGGCAUUUUGGGGAGGAAAGUCCGGGCUCCAUAGGACAGAGUGCCAGGUAACGCCUGGGAGGUGAAAGCCUACGGAAAGUGCAGCAGAAAAUAAACCGCCAGCGCUUGUUUUCAAGCGCGGGUAAGGGUGAAAUGGUGCGGUAAGAGCGCACCGCGCAACGGGUAACCGCUUGUGGCAUGGUAAACCCCACUCGGAGCAAGRCCAAAUAGGGGGACGUAAUGCGUGGUCCGCGCUGUUCUCGGGUAGGUUGCUUGAGGUGCAUGGUGACAUGUAUCCAGAUGAAUGAUUGUCCACGACAGAACCCGGCUUAUCGGCUGACUCCCUUU